This 89-nucleotide ribosomal RNA is filed under the name Streptococcus mutans. RNAcentral's name for it is "partial 16S ribosomal RNA". It matches the Rfam family "Bacterial small subunit ribosomal RNA", at positions 1 to 90 of the family's 1533-position model. Lineage: Bacteria; Bacillati; Bacillota; Bacilli; Lactobacillales; Streptococcaceae. The record is from RNAcentral.
UUAAAUGAGAGUUUGAUCCUGGCUCAGGACGAACGCUGGCGGCGUGCCUAAUACAUGCAAGUGGGACGCAAGAGAACACACUGUGCUUG